This 216-nucleotide ribosomal RNA is filed under the name Glomeromycotina sp. RNAcentral's name for it is "partial small subunit ribosomal RNA". The stretch from base 40 to 216 matches the Rfam family "Eukaryotic small subunit ribosomal RNA", at positions 686 to 864 of the family's 1831-position model. The record is from RNAcentral. Lineage: Eukaryota; Fungi; Glomeromycota.
GGGUCAGUAGGUUGGUCGUGCCACCGGUACGUACUGGUCUCACUGAUUCCUCCUUCCUGAAGAACCGUAAUGCCAUUAAUUUGGUGUUGCGGGGAAACAGGACUGUUACUUUGAAAAAAUUAGAGUGUUUAAAGCAAGCUAACGCUUGAAUACAUUAGCAUGGAAUAAUGAAAUAGGACGAUCGAUCCGGUUUUGUUGGUUUCUAGGAUUGACGUA